CCUCCUUUCCUCAGCCCAGCAACACCAAACCCUAGCCCCCACCACACCACAGCUCUCCUCACCCUAACGUCCUCGAUGCGCACGCCCGCGACACGCCACGCCUCGUCCAGAGCUCGUCCCUGCAGGUCCCUGACGUCGCCACGGCGCGCGCACCCGUCCCCGUGUUUGAACCCAUCGACCCUGGCAACGACCUUGAGUCCGACGGCUUUGCGAUGCGGGGUUCCUUCCCAAAUCAGGUCGCGCUCGAUGACUGGCCGCCUGUACCCGACCGCCGCCGGCGACCUUACCGCUGCCUUCUCCGAUCUAGCUCCCCUCGGAGGCUGCGCUGUGCUGGCCCUGAACCACCUCACAUCCGAGACCCAAGAUGAUUGAUCGUUUCCGGGAAACAAGAUGGUGUACCAUAGUUUUGAUUGCGCUGAAGAUGACCCCCACAAAUACUAUCCUCUAGAAUUCCUUAACUCUCUUAUCCCAAACGGGCUACCUCCGCAUGUGCUAAAGCUCAAGAGAUCGUGCUCGGGCAGCAUGUUGGGAAGAGAAUUUUUCUGCCUCGUAUCCCCCUAUGUCUCUCUGAUGACGAGAUAUUCCCUUCUCAGCUUUACCAUGACAAACAACAAGGCACAUGGUCAGACUAUCCCGAACGCCAGCAUGUACCUCCCCCAUCCAGUGUUCUCUCAUUGCCAGCUAUACAUCGCGCUAUCUAGAGCCACUGCCAGAAGGAACAUCAAGAUCCUCGCCCCGGAUGACGAUAAGAAAAAGGAGAAGCACUCAAAGCAGAGUGGGACACUAUAGUCGAGGAAUUUUAUUGUUUAUUUAUCAAUUUGUGGUUGCUGGCUAUAUUUUACUUAUCUUUGAUGUGAUGUAUCUAAUAAUUUGUUUUCGUUUGCUCAUGCUCACUGGUUGGAGGUACCCAAUUGAUAUGUUGAAGAGAGUAAGGAUAAGGGCAAGAGUAACAACUCAUGAAGUUAAUGCGCAUGCUUUCUAUUCUUCUACUAAGCAUGAGUUAAUGUAUUUUUCCACAUACGUACCACAACUCAACAACGGAUGAUGAUGCAAAGUAUGUAAACUUGGAUGGAUGUAUUUUUUGCAUUGUAUUUUGGAACCGUUGCAAUGCACGGAUACUUAACUAGUCUAACCUAAGUUUACACCUAUUAAUUAUGUACUAUCCGGACAAUGUGCUCGAAAU
Molecule: long non-coding RNA, 1183 nt
Organism: Phragmites australis (common reed)
Lineage: Eukaryota; Viridiplantae; Streptophyta; Magnoliopsida; Poales; Poaceae
Exons: 3
Source: RefSeq, a predicted model, not a curated record